Molecule: ribosomal RNA, 744 nt
Filed under: Arthrobacter sp.
Lineage: Bacteria; Bacillati; Actinomycetota; Actinomycetes; Micrococcales; Micrococcaceae
Description: bacterial SSU rRNA
Rfam family: Bacterial small subunit ribosomal RNA
Source: RNAcentral
CGAUGAUCCGGUGCUUGCACCGGGGAUUAGUGGCGAACGGGUGAGUAACACGUGAGUAACCUGCCCUUAACUCUGGGAUAAGCCUGGGAAACUGGGUCUAAUACCGGAUAUGACUCCUCAUCGCAUGGUGGGGGGUGGAAAGCUUUUUGUGGUUUUGGAUGGACUCGCGGCCUAUCAGCUUGUUGGUGAGGUAAUGGCUCACCAAGGCGACGACGGGUAGCCGGCCUGAGAGGGUGACCGGCCACACUGGGACUGAGACACGGCCCAGACUCCUACGGGAGGCAGCAGUGGGGAAUAUUGCACAAUGGGCGAAAGCCUGAUGCAGCGACGCCGCGUGAGGGAUGACGGCCUUCGGGUUGUAAACCUCUUUCAGUAGGGAAGAAGCGAAAGUGACGGUACCUGCAGAAGAAGCGCCGGCUAACUACGUGCCAGCAGCCGCGGUAAUACGUAGGGCGCAAGCGUUAUCCGGAAUUAUUGGGCGUAAAGAGCUCGUAGGCGGUUUGUCGCGUCUGCCGUGAAAGUCCGGGGCUCAACUCCGGAUCUGCGGUGGGUACGGGCAGACUAGAGUGAUGUAGGGGAGACUGGAAUUCCUGGUGUAGCGGUGAAAUGCGCAGAUAUCAGGAGGAACACCGAUGGCGAAGGCAGGUCUCUGGGCAUUAACUGACGCUGAGGAGCGAAAGCAUGGGGAGCGAACAGGAUUAGAUACCCUGGUAGUCCAUGCCGUAAACGUUGGGCACUAGGUGU